This 257-nucleotide ribosomal RNA is filed under the name uncultured bacterium. RNAcentral describes it as "partial small subunit ribosomal RNA". It matches the Rfam family "Bacterial small subunit ribosomal RNA", at positions 27 to 285 of the family's 1533-position model. The record is from RNAcentral.
GGGACGAACGCUGGCGGCGUGCUUAACACAUGCAAGUCGAGCGGUAAGGCCCUUUCGGGGGUACACGAGCGGCGAACGGGUGAGUAACACGUGGGUGACCUGCCCCCUACUCUGGGAUAAGCCUGGGAAACUGGGUCUAAUACCGGAUAUGACUCAAGGCUGCAUGGUUUUGGGUGGAAAGCUUUUGUGGUGGGGGAUGGGCCCGCGGCCUAUCAGCUUGUUGGUGGGGUGAUGGCCUACCAAGGCUUCGACGGGUA